RNAcentral lists this ribosomal RNA (443 nucleotides) under uncultured Pelagibacterales bacterium. RNAcentral describes it as "bacterial SSU rRNA". It matches the Rfam family "Bacterial small subunit ribosomal RNA", at positions 1074 to 1533 of the family's 1533-position model. The record is from RNAcentral. Lineage: Bacteria; Pseudomonadati; Pseudomonadota; Alphaproteobacteria; Candidatus Pelagibacterales.
AGUGGGUAGUCCGCACGAGCGCACCUUACUUUUAGUUGCCACCAUUUAGUUGAGCACUCUAAAAGAACUGCCAGUGAUAAGCUGGAGGAAGGCGGGGAUGACGUCAAGUCCUCAUGGCCCUUACGUGUUGGGCUACACACGUGCUACAAUGGCAUUUACAAUGAGAUGCAAAGAGGCGACUCCAAGCAAAUCUUGAAAAAAUGCCUCAGUUCGGAUUGUACUCUGCAACUCGAGUACAUGAAGCUGGAAUUGCUAGUAAUCGCGGAUCAGCGCGCCGCGGUGAAUACGUUCCCGGGUCUUGUACACACCGCCCGUCACACCAUGGAAGUUGGUUACACCUGAAGGCAAAACGUAAAACUUUUGACUACGGUACGAUCAGCGACUGGGGUGAAGUCGUAACAAGGUAGCCGUAGGGGAACCUGCGGCUGGAUCACCUCCUUUCU